Molecule: transfer RNA, 55 nt
Rfam family: tRNA
About the family: Transfer RNA (tRNA) molecules are approximately 80 nucleotides in length. Their secondary structure includes four short double-helical elements and three loops (D, anti-codon, and T loops).
Source: Rfam
UUAGGACGCAUCCCUGUCACGGAUGAGAUCACGAGUUCGAGUCUCGUAUGGACCG